Molecule: ribosomal RNA, 2921 nt
Filed under: Staphylococcus aureus
Lineage: Bacteria; Bacillati; Bacillota; Bacilli; Caryophanales; Staphylococcaceae
Description: bacterial LSU rRNA
Rfam family: Bacterial large subunit ribosomal RNA
Source: RNAcentral
UUAAGUUAUUAAGGGCGCACGGUGGAUGCCUUGGCACUAGAAGCCGAUGAAGGACGUUACUAACNACGAUAUGCUUUGGGGAGCUGUAAGUAAGCUUUGAUCCAGAGAUUUCCGAAUGGGGAAACCCAGCAUGAGUUAUGUCAUGUUAUCGAUAUGUGAAUACAUAGCAUAUCAGAAGGCACACCCGGAGAACUGAAACAUCUUAGUACCCGGAGGAAGAGAAAGAAAAUUCGAUUCCCUUAGUAGCGGCGAGCGAAACGGGAAGAGCCCAAACCAACAAGCUUGCUUGUUGGGGUUGUAGGACACUCUAUACGGAGUUACAAAGGACGACAUUAGACGAAUCAUCUGGAAAGAUGAAUCAAAGAAGGUAAUAAUCCUGUAGUCGAAAAUGUUGUCUCUCUUGAGUGGAUCCUGAGUACGACGGAGCACGUGAAAUUCCGUCGGAAUCUGGGAGGACCAUCUCCUAAGGCUAAAUACUCUCUAGUGACCGAUAGUGAACCAGUACCGUGAGGGAAAGGUGAAAAGCACCCCGGAAGGGGAGUGAAAUAGAACCUGAAACCGUGUGCUUACAAGUAGUCAGAGCCCGUUAAUGGGUGAUGGCGUGCCUUUUGUAGAAUGAACCGGCGAGUUACGAUUUGAUGCAAGGUUAAGCAGUAAAUGUGGAGCCGUAGCGAAAGCGAGUCUGAAUAGGGCGUUUAGUAUUUGGUCGUAGACCCGAAACCAGGUGAUCUACCCUUGGUCAGGUUGAAGUUCAGGUAACACUGAAUGGAGGACCGAACCGACUUACGUUGAAAAGUGAGCGGAUGAACUGAGGGUAGCGGAGAAAUUCCAAUCGAACCUGGAGAUAGCUGGUUCUCUCCGAAAUAGCUUUAGGGCUAGCCUCAAGUGAUGAUUAUUGGAGGUAGAGCACUGUUUGGACGAGGGGCCCCUCUCGGGUUACCGAAUUCAGACAAACUCCGAAUGCCAAUUAAUUUAACUUGGGAGUCAGAACAUGGGUGAUAAGGUCCAUGUUCGAAAGGGAAACAGCCCAGACCACCAGCUAAGGUCCCAAAAUAUAUGUUAAGUGGAAAAGGAUGUGGCGUUGCCCAGACAACUAGGAUGUUGGCUUAGAAGCAGCCAUCAUUUAAAGAGUGCGUAAUAGCUCACUAGUCGAGUGACACUGCGCCGAAAAUGUACCGGGGCUAAACAUAUUACCGAAGCUGUGGAUUGUCCUUUGGACAAUGGUAGGAGAGCGUUCUAAGGGCGUUGAAGCAUGAUCGUAAGGACAUGUGGAGCGCUUAGAAGUGAGAAUGCCGGUGUGAGUAGCGAAAGACGGGUGAGAAUCCCGUCCACCGAUUGACUAAGGUUUCCAGAGGAAGGCUCGUCCGCUCUGGGUUAGUCGGGUCCUAAGCUGAGGCCGACAGGCGUAGGCGAUGGAUAACAGGUUGAUAUUCCUGUACCACCUAUAAUCGUUUUAAUCGAUGGGGGGACGCAGUAGGAUAGGCGAAGCGUGCGAUUGGAUUGCACGUCUAAGCAGUAAGGCUGAGUAUUAGGCAAAUCCGGUACUCGUUAAGGCUGAGCUGUGAUGGGGAGAAGACAUUGUGUCUUCGAGUCGUUGAUUUCACACUGCCGAGAAAAGCCUCUAGAUAGAAAAUAGGUGCCCGUACCGCAAACCGACACAGGUAGUCAAGAUGAGAAUUCUAAGGUGAGCGAGCGAACUCUCGUUAAGGAACUCGGCAAAAUGACCCCGUAACUUCGGGAGAAGGGGUGCUCUUUAGGGUUAACGCCCAGAAGAGCCGCAGUGAAUAGGCCCAAGCGACUGUUUAUCAAAAACACAGGUCUCUGCUAAACCGUAAGGUGAUGUAUAGGGGCUGACGCCUGCCCGGUGCUGGAAGGUUAAGAGGAGUGGUUAGCUUCUGCGAAGCUACGAAUCGAAGCCCCAGUAAACGGCGGCCGUAACUAUAACGGUCCUAAGGUAGCGAAAUUCCUUGUCGGGUAAGUUCCGACCCGCACGAAAGGCGUAACGAUUUGGGCACUGUCUCAACGAGAGACUCGGUGAAAUCAUAGUACCUGUGAAGAUGCAGGUUACCCGCGACAGGACGGAAAGACCCCGUGGAGCUUUACUGUAGCCUGAUAUUGAAAUUCGGCACAGCUUGUACAGGAUAGGUAGGAGCCUUUGAAACGUGAGCGCUAGCUUACGUGGAGGCGCUGGUGGGAUACUACCCUAGCUGUGUUGGCUUUCUAACCCGCACCACUUAUCGUGGUGGGAGACAGUGUCAGGCGGGCAGUUUGACUGGGGCGGUCGCCUCCUAAAAGGUAACGGAGGCGCUCAAAGGUUCCCUCAGAAUGGUUGGAAAUCAUUCAUAGAGUGUAAAGGCAUAAGGGAGCUUGACUGCGAGACCUACAAGUCGAGCAGGGUCGAAAGACGGACUUAGUGAUCCGGUGGUUCCGCAUGGAAGGGCCAUCGCUCAACGGAUAAAAGCUACCCCGGGGAUAACAGGCUUAUCUCCCCCAAGAGUUCACAUCGACGGGGAGGUUUGGCACCUCGAUGUCGGCUCAUCGCAUCCUGGGGCUGUAGUCGGUCCCAAGGGUUGGGCUGUUCGCCCAUUAAAGCGGUACGCGAGCUGGGUUCAGAACGUCGUGAGACAGUUCGGUCCCUAUCCGUCGUGGGCGUAGGAAAUUUGAGAGGAGCUGUCCUUAGUACGAGAGGACCGGGAUGGACAUACCUCUGGUGUACCAGUUGUCGUGCCAACGGCAUAGCUGGGUAGCUAUGUGUGGACGGGAUAAGUGCUGAAAGCAUCUAAGCAUGAAGCCCCCCUCAAGAUGAGAUUUCCCAACUUCGGUUAUAAGAUCCCUCAAAGAUGAUGAGGUUAAUAGGUUCGAGGUGGAAGCAUGGUGACAUGUGGAGCUGACGAAUACUAAUCGAUCGAAGACUUAAUCAA